AGCGGGGUGGGGCAGCCAGGAGUGCCCGUCGGGCCCAUAACCCGGAGGUCGAUGGACGUGAUUCCAAAUGGAAUCUUGGUCGAAUUCAAAAGAGCACAUUUUUAUGUGUGUUCGGGAAGUCCAUCCCCCGCUA
Molecule: transfer RNA, 133 nt
Filed under: Nanobdellota archaeon
Lineage: Archaea; Nanobdellati; Nanobdellota
Description: tRNA-Met
Source: RNAcentral